This is a long non-coding RNA of Mytilus californianus (California mussel), 605 nucleotides long. RefSeq lists it as uncharacterized. The record is from RefSeq and is a predicted model, not a curated record. The transcript has 2 exons. Lineage: Eukaryota; Metazoa; Mollusca; Bivalvia; Mytilida; Mytilidae.
UUAGUUGACCAAGGGAUAAAAUUUAUCACUUGAGAAAUGGGUUCCUCAUUUGCUUGUUUCUGGAGCACCCUCCUGUGUUAGAAAAGAUGAGUUAAGAUGUGUAUUUAGCACAAAAAAGAAUAAGACGGUAUCGAUUGAACAAUGAACUCCCCUAAACCACAUUAGAAAGCAGAGGGAAAUCAGGUUCUCCAGAAGAAACAGCAGUUUUCAUUAUACUAAUGGCCACUGUUAUUUUAUCUGUGACCAGUGAUGAAUCAUUUUGGAUAUGUUAAAAAAAACAAGGAAAAGACGGAGUUGUAGCCGUAUGACAAGUGGAAUACUUCAUGGUCAUUUGUGACAAAAAUUACGAUACUAAAAAAACAAAGUCAUACAAAAAUGAAAACAAUUUCAAACCUUCAAUCGUAAAAGGAAACAAUCGCUCAUGUAUUUUGUAAAAUCUGGAAGGAUAUACAGACUGUAUUAUUUAAAGCAAAAUCGACAUAGAAACAUUUUACGACUUUUCAAUCUUUUUCAGGUAUAUUAGUUUCAGCACACCUUUCUUUUUUUCAUUAUUAUAAAUACUUAUCUUUGAGUACAGAAACAAUGAAAUAAUGCAUCUAACUUGA